AGUGAACGCUGGCGGUAGGCCUAAUACAUGCAAGUCGAACGGCAGCACAGUAAGAGCUUGCUCUUACGGGUGGCGAGUGGCGGACGGGUGAGGAAUACAUCGGAAUCUACUUUUUCGUGGGGGAUAACGUAAGGAAACUUACGCUAAUACCGCAUACGACCUACGGGUGAAAGCAGGGGAUCUUCGGACCUUGCGCGAUUGAAUGAGCCGAUGUCGGAUUAGCUAGUUGGCGGGGUAAAGGCCCACCAAGGCGACGAUCCGUAGCUGGUCUGAGAGGAUGAUCAGCCACACUGGAACUGAGACACGGUCCAGACUCCUACGGGAGGCAGCAGUGGGGAAUAUUGGACAAAGGGCGCAAGCCUGAUCCAGCCAUACCGCGUGGGUGAAGAAGGCCUUCGGGUUGUAAAGCCCUUUUGUUGGGAAAGAGAAGCAGCAGGUUAAUACCCCGCUGUUCUGACGGUACCCAAAGAAUAAGCACCGGCUAACUUCGUG
RNAcentral lists this ribosomal RNA (492 nucleotides) under uncultured bacterium. Its description in RNAcentral is "partial 16S ribosomal RNA". It matches the Rfam family "Bacterial small subunit ribosomal RNA", at positions 29 to 507 of the family's 1533-position model. The record is from RNAcentral.